RNAcentral lists this transfer RNA (73 nucleotides) under Lysobacterales bacterium. RNAcentral describes it as "tRNA-Ile". It matches the Rfam family "tRNA". Rfam says of the family: Transfer RNA (tRNA) molecules are approximately 80 nucleotides in length. Their secondary structure includes four short double-helical elements and three loops (D, anti-codon, and T loops). Lineage: Bacteria; Pseudomonadati; Pseudomonadota; Gammaproteobacteria; Lysobacterales. RNAcentral also lists the same sequence under 3 other names. The record is from RNAcentral.
GGGCCAGUAGUUCAGCGGCUAGAACGGGCGUCUUAUACACUCCAUGUCGGAGGUUCGAGUCCUCCCUGGCCCA